RNAcentral lists this ribosomal RNA (168 nucleotides) under Spicomacrurus kuronumai. RNAcentral describes it as "partial 12S rRNA". The record is from RNAcentral. Lineage: Eukaryota; Metazoa; Chordata; Actinopteri; Gadiformes; Macrouridae.
CACCGCGGUUAUACGGAGGGCCCAAGUUGACAAUUACGGCGUAAAGCGUAGUUAAGAUACAUACUAAAAUAGGGCCGAAUAACCUCAAGACAGUAAAAUGUGUUCGAGGCCACUAAGCUCAACUAUGAAAAUAGCCCUAAUUACUAUGACCCUACGAAAGCUAAAAUA